GAUGAAGAACGCAGCGAAAUGCGAUAAGUAGUGUGAAUUGCAGAAUUCCGUGAAUCAUCGAAUCUUUGAACGCACAUUGCGCCUUCUGGUAUUCCGGAAGGCAUGCCUGUUCGAGAGUCAUUAACAACCGUUUCGAUCCCUUUCUUUCAGAAAUUACAAAGAGGAAAAGGGUUUGGUUAUGGUGGAGGAGGGAAAGGGAGCGUUUAGCCUGUAAAAAAAGAGGCUGUGUUCCGCCUCCCCCCCAAAAUUGUACAGGCGGUCGUGUGCGCCCACGCAUCGAGGUGUUGUAAAAGCUGCCACGGCACUUUUCACCUGUGCAGUGCGAGAUUGGCCAGCCGGUUUAAAAACUCCUCCAAACAAUCAAAGGUUGACCUCGGAUCAGGUAGGGAUACCCGCUGAACUUAAGCAUAUCAAUAAGCGGAGGA
This 425-nucleotide unclassified non-coding RNA is filed under the name soil metagenome. RNAcentral describes it as "partial contains 5.8S ribosomal RNA, internal transcribed spacer 2, and large subunit ribosomal RNA". The stretch from base 1 to 120 matches the Rfam family "5.8S ribosomal RNA", at positions 35 to 154 of the family's 154-position model. The record is from RNAcentral.